Molecule: ribosomal RNA, 252 nt
Filed under: uncultured bacterium
Lineage: Bacteria
Description: partial 16S ribosomal RNA
Rfam family: Bacterial small subunit ribosomal RNA
Source: RNAcentral
UACGGAGGGGGCUAGCGUUGUUCGGAAAUACUGGGCGUAAAGCGAACGUAGGCGGCUUGGCAAGUCAGGGGUGAAAUCCCAGUGCUCAACACUGGAACUGCCUUUGAAACUGCCAGGCUUGAAUCCUGGAGAGGCGAGUGGAAUCCGAGUGUAGAGGUGAAAUUCGUAGAUAUUCGGAAGAACACCAGUGGCGAAGGCGACUCGCUGGACAGGUAUUGACGCUGAGGUUCGAAAGCGUGGGGAGCAAACAGG